Molecule: ribosomal RNA, 397 nt
Filed under: uncultured bacterium
Lineage: Bacteria
Description: partial 16S ribosomal RNA
Rfam family: Bacterial small subunit ribosomal RNA
Source: RNAcentral
AUACGUAGGGGGCGAGCGUUGUCCGGAAUGAUUGGGCGUAAAGGGCGCGUAGGCGGCCCGGUAAGUCUGGAGUGAAAGUCCUGUUUUUAAGAUGGGAAUUGCUUUGGAUACUGUCGGGCUUGAGUGCAGGAGAGGUAAGUGGAAUUCCCAGUGUAGCGGUGAAAUGCGUAGAGAUUGGGAGGAACACCAGUGGCGAAGGCGACUAACUGGACUGUAACUGACGCUGAGGCGCGAAAGUGUGGGGAGCAAACAGGAUUAGAUACCCUGGUAGUCCACACUGUAAACGAUGAAUGCUAGGUGUAGGGGGUAUCGACCCCUUCUGUGCCGCAGUCAACACAAUAAGCAUUCCGCCUGGGGAGUACGGCCGCAAGGUUGAAACUCAAAUGAAUUGACGGGG